This 231-nucleotide ribosomal RNA is filed under the name uncultured bacterium. RNAcentral describes it as "partial 16S ribosomal RNA". It matches the Rfam family "Bacterial small subunit ribosomal RNA", at positions 523 to 753 of the family's 1533-position model. The record is from RNAcentral.
AUACGUAGGGUGCAAGCGUUGUUCGGAAUCAUUGGGCGUAAAGCGCGUGUAGGCGGUUGGCUAAGUCCGGUGUGAAAUCCCGGGGCUUAACUCCGGAAGUGCAUUGGAUACUGGCCAGCUAGAGGACGGGAGAGGAAAGCGGAAUUCCUGGUGUAGGGGUGAAAUCCGUAGAUAUCUGGAAGAACACCAGUUGCGAAGGCGGUCUCUUGGUCCGAUACUGACGCUGAGGCG